GCAGAAUCACAGACAGCAGGGUGAAGUAGCUGCUCAGCCUUCUCAUCAUCAUCACCUCUGACCUUCAGCAGUGACCUUCACUCAGGCCUCUAAUCCUCCAGGUCUGAUGGCUCCAGAAUGAGGAUGAAGAUAGCACACCGGUCACCAGAGACCCACCCCAAUCUGAACUGAAAGCUUCUCUGUGAUCACAGUGAUGGAUACAUCUAUAACUCUGUGACAUCAUCAGGAGAUCUGGAUCAAUGGAUGCUGCUUCUCAACAUCUGUCCAGACUCUUCUGGUUGUCCUCCUUCACCUCAGACCUCCAUACAUCCCUCAUCUGGUCAGACUGCAGCCUCAGCCCCAGCUCUGACAGGACUACAACCAGCCCCACUCUGUGUAUUCAUCAACAUCAUCAACAUGUGCAUA
Long non-coding RNA from Thunnus maccoyii (southern bluefin tuna), 405 nucleotides. RefSeq lists it as uncharacterized. NCBI's taxonomy places the organism in Eukaryota, Metazoa, Chordata, Actinopteri, Scombriformes, Scombridae. The transcript has 3 exons. The record is from RefSeq and is a predicted model, not a curated record.